GUCCACGCCCUAAACGAUGUCUACUAGUUGUCGGGUUUUAAUUAACUUGGUAACGCAGCUAACGCGUGAAGUAGACCGCCUGGGGAGUACGGUCGCAAGAUUAAAACUCAAAGGAAUUGACGGGGACCCGCACAAGCGGUGGAUGAUGUGGAUUAAUUCGAUGCAACGCGAAAAACCUUACCUACCCUUGACAUGUACGGAAGCCACGAGAGAUCGAGGUGUGCUCGAAAGAGAACCGUAACACAGGUGCUGCAUGGCU
This 259-nucleotide ribosomal RNA is filed under the name uncultured bacterium. Its description in RNAcentral is "partial 16S ribosomal RNA". It matches the Rfam family "Bacterial small subunit ribosomal RNA", at positions 793 to 1050 of the family's 1533-position model. The record is from RNAcentral.